Molecule: ribosomal RNA, 497 nt
Filed under: uncultured bacterium
Lineage: Bacteria
Description: partial 16S ribosomal RNA
Rfam family: Bacterial small subunit ribosomal RNA
Source: RNAcentral
GAUGAACGCUGGCGGCGUGCCUAAUACAUGCAAGUCGAGCGAACAGAUAAGGAGCUUGCUCCUUUGACGUUAGCGGCGGACGGGUGAAUAACACGUGGGUAACCUACCUAUAAGACUGGGAUAACUUCGGGAAACCGGAGCUAAUACCGGAUAAUAUUUCGAACCGCAUGGUUCGAUAGUGAAAGAUGGUUUUGCUAUCACUUAUAGAUGGACCCGCGCCGUAUUAGCUAGUUGGUAAGGUAACGGCUUACCAAGGCGACGAUACGUAGCCGACCUGAGAGGGUGAUCGCCCACACUGGAACUGAGCCACGGUCCAGACUCCUACGGGAGGCAGCAGUAGGGAAUCUUCCGCAAUGGGCGAAAGCCUGACGGAGCAACGCCGCGUGAGUGAUGAAGGUCUUCGGAUCGUAAAACUCUGUUAUUAGGGAAGAACAUACGUGUAAGUAACUGUGCACGUCUUGACGGUACCUAAUCAGAAAGCCACGGCUAACUACGUG